GUCGAACGCUGGCGGCGUGCUUAACACAUGCAAGUCGAACGCUGAAGCUCAGCUUUUGUUGGGUGGAUGAGUGGCGAACGGGUGAGUAACACGUGAGUAACCUGCCUCCUUCUUUGGGAUAACGCCCGGAAACGGGUGCUAAUACUGGAUAUUCACUGGUCUUCGCAUGGGGGUUGGUGGAAAGGGUUUUUCUGGUGGGGGAUGGGCUCGCGGCCUAUCAGCUUGUUGGUGGGGUGAUGGCCUACCAAGGCUUUGACGGGUAGCCGGCCUGAGAGGGUGACCGGUAACAGUGGGACUGAGAUACGGCCCAGACUCCUACGGGAGGCAGCAGUGGGGAAUAUUGCACAAUGGGCGCAAGCCUGAUGCAGCGACGCCGCGUGAGGGAUGGAGGCCUUCGGGUUGUGAACCUCUUUCGCUCAUGGUCAAGCCGCAACAAUGGUUGUGGUGAGGGUAGUGGGUAAAGAAGCGCCGGCUAACUACGUG
This 483-nucleotide ribosomal RNA is filed under the name uncultured bacterium. RNAcentral's name for it is "partial 16S ribosomal RNA". It matches the Rfam family "Bacterial small subunit ribosomal RNA", at positions 28 to 507 of the family's 1533-position model. The record is from RNAcentral.